UCAUCCGACACAACGACGCUGUAUGGUGAAUGGCUUGGCUUGGGAUGGCGACGAAGGGCGCGGUAAGCUGCGAUAAGCUCCGGGGAGACGCAAGCAAUCUUCGAUCCGGAGAUACCCGAAUAGAGUCCAAUCCACGGGGACUGCCGCAAGGCAUCCCUGUGUUCCGCAAGGAACGCAAACCCUGGGGAAGGAAACAUCUGAGUACCAGGAGGAAAAGAAAUCAAUUGAGAUCCCGUUAUGUAGGGGCGACCGAACACGGGAGAGCCCAAACCGAAUCCUUGCCCGAAAGGGCCGGGAGAUGUGGGGUUCGCAUCAGCAUAUGCAACCUUGAGAACGCGCGGCCGAACUUGCCUGGAAAGGCAGACAAAAUAAGGUGAUAGUCCUGUAGGCUGUUCGAGCUCGUGGUUGCGCUGCGUGCAGAGUACCUGGCUUUGGCAGUGGCUAGGGAAGAUGGGGGAAAGCAGCCCCCAAGGCUAAACACAACCCAAGACCGAUAGAGCACUAGUACCGCGAGGGAAAGCUGAAAAGUACCCCGAAAGGGGUGUGCAAAGAGCCUGAAACCAUCCAGCUACAGACGUGCACGGCAUGAAAGGGGUGUGAUUCCACCGCGAUUUCCCGUAAGGGAGCUCAAGGUGGGUUAAGCGCCCCAGUGUCGUGCUUUCCGUCUAGAAACACGGGCCGGGGAGUUAACUGUCAUGGCGAGCCUAAGGGUUAGAAGCCCGGAGGCGAAGCGAAAGCGAUUCUGCGUAGCUCGCAAGAGUGUGGCAGGAGGUCUGAAAGGGCCUUGGAGUCAUGGCGGUUUAGACUAGAAACCGAACGAUCGUGGCCAGAACAAGUUGAAGCCGGGCGAAAGCCUGGUCGAAGACUGCAAGGGUCUUAACGUGCAAUUUAGUCCCCUGAUUCUGGCCAAGGGGCCAAAAGCCUAUCUAGUUCGGUGAUUGCUAGUUCCCAUCGAAGCGGAUCCCAGUCCUGUCUCCACCGAUGGUAGUUCACGCCGUAGAGCACCAACGAGAAAACAAGGAUCCGAAAGGGUCCACUUUCUUCUUGAACUCCGAAUGUGUGAACGCAGUAGACGUGGGGAGGCGGGUUUAUGUGGGGUAAGCCUCAUAACCGAGAGGGGGUUAACCCAGACUAGAGUUAAGGUCCCCAAAUUUUGGCUAAGUGUCAAGCAAAAGGGAGUCUUUGACCUAAAACAGCAGGGAGGUAAGCUUAGAAGCAGCUACCCUUCAAAGAAAGCGUAACAGCUCACCUGCCGAGGUUGAGGGCCCUGAAAAUGGACGGGGCUAAAGCCAAGUACCGAUACUCUGGACAACCAUUCUGUGAAUGGUUUGUGGUAGAUGGGCGUGGUGACUGGGUAGAAGCUGGGUCGUGAGAUCCAGUGGACCGGUCUCCAGUGCAGAUCCCGGUAGUAGUAGCAGCGUAGUCGGGUGAGAAUCCUGACCGCCGAAAGGACACGGUUUUCCUGGCAAUGCGUCAUCAGCCAGGAGUUAGCCGAUCCUAAGAGCAAACUCAACAGUAUUGCUCGAAUGAGGGAAUGCGGUUAAUAUUCCGCAGCCUUUGUUAUUCCGAUGUCCCGCAAGGGACGACAUCACCUUAGAUGCUUUGAGACAAGCCUUACAGAGUUAUUCGCUCUGUUUAAUCAUCCAAGAUGUGGGGAGUGUCGUAAUGACGAGAACCACGUCGAGGGGAGAAUAGCGGCCCGUUGGGGUCGUUAGGCCCAUUCCCGGAGACAUUGAAAACUAAGGAGGACAGGGAUAAUGAAGAUCGUACCUAGAUCCGACACCAGUGAUCCUAGGUGAGAAGCCUCAGGCGUGUCGGGGAACCGUAGGUAAGGGAACUCGGCAAAUUAGCCACGUAAGUUAGCGAUAAGUGGUGCCUGCGUUCUUUACGAUGAGUAGGGAUCGCAGGUUGCAAUAACGAGGGGGUCCCGACUGUUUAAUAAAAACACAGUAAACCGCAAGUCCGAAAGGAUGAGUACGGUUUAUGAAUCCUGGCCAGUGCAGGUACCUAAAACCUGGGUUCAACUGGGCUAAGGGCCUGUAAACGCCGGGAGUAACUCUGACUCUCUUAAGGUGACCACAGUUGCCUUAAACAAAUCUGGCCAUAUGCUGGAACAUCUGAGUAUGCCGGGCUAGUCCGCAAGGACUGACAAGGCCAAGGCUGCAGACAAUCAGCAGGAAAGGCUGGACAGAAGAGGAGAUACAAUGCCCAGACAAACAGAACGGAAACCAUGAGUUCCAACGGAACAGGAUGAAAGGAAACAGCAAGGAACAUCUCCAAAAUCUAUUCAGAAUCCUCAGAGACUAUACGCCAGAGUCCGCCGCAAAAAGCGGGCAAGAUAUAGUCCGACCCAUGCAGCGAUGCAUGGAGAUUUGCUUCGCAGCAAGUCCGCCUCGAGAAAUCGAGGUCCACGGAAGUAACAGAGUGAGCCAAAUGCCUUGUCGGGUGAGUUCCGACGUGCAUGAAUGGACCAACGAGGGCCCCGCUGUCCCUAUCUACAACCCGGCGAACCUACGUAAGCUGGACGAACAGUCCAGCAACUUCCAUCGGGGAGAGAAGUCCCUGUGGAGCUUUACUGCAGCUUGUUGCUGCGAUUCGGUUGCGAUUGCAGAGUGUAACGGGUAGCCGUCGAAGCGCUGACUCCGGUUGGCGUGGAGGCAUCAAUGUAACACCCGUCCCUUGCGACUGUAUCGCUAACUCCUACGGGAGGACACCGGCAGGUGGGCAGUUCGGCUGGGGCGGCACCCCCUUGAAAAGAUAUCGAGGGGGCCCAAAGGUCGACUCAACUGGGUCAGAACUCCAGUGUUGACGGCAAGGCGAAAAGUCGGCCUGACAGGGAACUUAAACGCAGAGUUCUCUGCCACGAAAGUGUGGCCUAGCGAUCCUUCAAGUCCCCACUGUUGGGGGCUGGAGGUGACAGAAAAGUUACCCCAGGGGUAACAGGCUCGUCGCGGGCGAGAGCUCCAAUCGACCCCGCGGUUUGGUACCUUGGACCGAAAGGUCUCGGGGCAAAAUCACGGUAACGCGAUUUGAAGCAUUGGCUUAUAACGGCGAACUCCUCCUCUCGGGAACACUGAGGAAACGAGAAAGGACAACGCCGUGGGAAGUCUAUGGGUAACCCCGGAGUACAUCCGGGGCAGAAGAGCGAGCAAUGUCGGCUUAGCGGCCGGCGCAAGGCACAGAAAACAGAAAGCAGCCAAGUAAAGUUCGCUCCACUAAGGGCACUUCUAAUCUGAUGGAUGGGUUACAGGAUGGUUGAAACAUCUUCCGGCAGCGGUAUCCGCUCCGGGGUGUGAACUUCGGGCGGAUGCUUGCAAGCGGGCACAACCAGCACAGACGCUGUCCUGCCAUAGGGCGGGCCGGUAUCGGUGCAGGCUGUGGUAAACUAUCAACAGGUAGAAACGAUCUUCCCAUAUGACCCCGUAACGACUGAGCGCGCAGAAAAGUGCGUGAUGAGAUAGCAUGGAGCUGUCUCCCGACGCGAUACGUUCCGACGUGUCGCGACAAACAUCGGGAGGCCGCGUAAGGGGCUCCAGGUUAUCAUACGCCAACCCCUCCGAUCGAAGGCCGGCCGCAAGCCGGUCCAGAGAGUGCAAGGAGGGUGAAGACAUAGUCUAAUCCUGAGAGAAAUCUUAGAUAAGAUUGCGAUGUCGGCUCUUCCCAUCCUGGUCCUGCAGCAGGGGCCAAGGGUGGGGCUGCUCGCCCAUUAAAGGGGAACGUGAGCUGGGUUUAGACCGUCGUGAGACAGGUCGGCCUCUACCUGAUGGAAGCGGAAGUCGACUGCGAGGAAGCACUGCCUAGUACGAGAGGAACAGCGGUGCGUAGCCUCUGGCGUACCGGUCGUCCGAAAGGGCGCAGCCGGGCAGCUAAGCUAUCGUGGAUAACUGCUGAAAGCAUCUAAGCAGGAAGCCACUCUCAAGAAGAGUCGACUGUCGACUAAAGCUUUCCCUCGCAAGGGGGAGAGCCAAGUCGAGAAGGGCUGCGAUAGAAGAUCGCGUUGAAGUGGGAGCGGUGUACGCAAGAAGCCUUCGGGCGACUUGUUCAGCUGGUCUCCUAACUAUCGCCCAACGUGUGGAUGAU
Molecule: ribosomal RNA, 4080 nt
Filed under: Nitrososphaerota archaeon
Lineage: Archaea; Thermoproteati; Nitrososphaerota
Description: 23S ribosomal RNA
Rfam family: Archaeal large subunit ribosomal RNA
Source: RNAcentral